This 465-nucleotide ribosomal RNA is filed under the name uncultured bacterium. RNAcentral's name for it is "partial 16S ribosomal RNA". It matches the Rfam family "Bacterial small subunit ribosomal RNA", at positions 28 to 507 of the family's 1533-position model. The record is from RNAcentral.
GACGAACGCUGGCGGCGUGCUUAACACAUGCAGGUCGAACGGAAAGGCCCUGCUUGCAGGGUACUCGAGUGGCGAACGGGUGAGUAACACGUGGGUGAUCUGCCCUGCACUUCGGGAUAAGCCUGGGAAACUGGGUCUAAUACCGGAUAGGAGCCAUUUUUAGUGUGAUGGUUGGAAAGUUUUUUCGGUGUAGGAUGAGCUCGCGGCCUAUCAGCUUGUUGGUGGGGUAAUGGCCUACCAAGGCGGCGACGGGUAGCCGGCCUGGGAGGGUGGACGGCCACAUUGGGACUGAGAUACGGCCCAGACUCCUACGGGAGGCAGCAGUGGGGAAUAUUGCACAAUGGGCGCAAGCCUGAUGCAGCGACGCCGCGGGGGGGAUGACGGCCUUCGGGUUGGAAACUCCUUUCGCUAGGGACGAAGCUUUUUGUGACGGUACCUAGAUAAGAAGCACCGGCUAACUACGUG